AGCUCCAAUAGCGUAUAUUAAUGUUGUUGCAGUUAAAAAGCUCGUAGUUGGAUUUCUGGUCUAAUGCGCCUGGCCCGCCUCGUUUAGAGUGUGAGUGCCGGUGCGCGUUUGCCAUCCUUCUAGAGAACGUGCGUUGCAUUCAUUUGUUGCGUACGAGAUCUAGGACGUUUACUUUGAAAAAAUUAGAGUGUUUAAAGCAGGCUAUCGUUUUUGAAUAGAUUAGCAUGGAAUAAUAAUUUAGGACUUUGGUUCUAUUUUGUUGGUUUCUGGUACUGAAGUAAUGAUUGAUAGGGAUAGUUGGGGGUGCUCGUAUUCAAAGGCCAGAGGUGAAAUUCUCGGAUUCUUUGAAGACGAACUUAUGCGAAAGCAUUCACCAAGGAUGUCUUCUUUAAUCAAGAAC
This 400-nucleotide ribosomal RNA is filed under the name phytoplankton environmental sample. Its description in RNAcentral is "partial small subunit ribosomal RNA". It matches the Rfam family "Eukaryotic small subunit ribosomal RNA", at positions 587 to 984 of the family's 1831-position model. The record is from RNAcentral.